Molecule: long non-coding RNA, 523 nt
Filed under: Mytilus galloprovincialis (Mediterranean mussel)
Lineage: Eukaryota; Metazoa; Mollusca; Bivalvia; Mytilida; Mytilidae
Source: RNAcentral
CUGGCGGAUAUUCCCUUCCAUAAUUCUGUUCGUAUUCAUACGAAACUAAAUGGAUGCAUAACCUCGAGCAGGGACUUUUCUAUUAGUAUAGACAGUCCCUGCCUCGAGACAUAAAACAAAUGUCUCUUGCAAAUUAUGUCGUAUAUUCUGAUAAAUUCGUAUUACUUGGGAUCAAGCAUAAAACAGGUUUAUCUUUUUUCUUGAAAUUUACAGUCGACUACAAACUAUGAGCAACAGACCAACGAUAUACUGUAUAUAUCUCUGACAUAUCUACUUCAAAUUUUAGAAAAGAAUAUUAACAUAAUCUAUAAUCAUCACAUCAGAUUCCCGACUUAAGACAGGUGCAAACAAUUGCAGCGGGUUUAAACUUUGUAGUGGUACCAAACCUUCACCCUUAUCUGAAACAAUAGUGUUUACAUCACAACAUUGAAAGCCACACUAUAAAUAUGUAUUGAAAUGGCUUAAUUCUAACUCAAUCAAAAGACAUAUUAAUACAAGUGAGCAUACACUGAAUGAUGUUUUU